AUCAUACUCCCUCCGUCCGGAAAUACUUGUCGGAGGAAUGGAUGUAUCUAGACGUAUUUUAAUUCUAGAUACAUCCAUUUUUAUGCAUUUUUUCGACAAAUAUUUCCGGACGGGGCGAGUACUAC
Molecule: non-coding RNA, 125 nt
Organism: Triticum aestivum (bread wheat)
Lineage: Eukaryota; Viridiplantae; Streptophyta; Magnoliopsida; Poales; Poaceae
Source: Rfam